CUCUAAUUUCAGUAAACUACGGAGAAAUUCGAACACUCCUUAAUUUCUAUGAAACAGAAGUACCUGCACAGGUCCAAUAAAUUUUUGAUAUUUUGUAGAUUUUGAGUGUUGAAAGGUAAUGUAAUCGUAAACAUUGCUAAUAUUCAUGCAUUAUUGUGUAUGACCAGAAUUAGGAUGUGAGUUGACAUUAUCCCAUGGUCUUAUUAGAGUUUAACUGGGCGAGAGCUAUUCUUCCCAUGGCCCGGUAAAUUGUCUUGUCAUGUCAUAAAAACUCACGUAACGAUUCAGUGAUUGAUAUAAUGUUUCGUAGUAGAUUUGGAGUUAAACCUUGACUAUGAUAACCGAUAUAAGAUGUGGGAGGAAUAUAUCCCUUCGCCUGAUCAAGAAUAA
Cydia splendana is the source of this 390-nucleotide long non-coding RNA. RefSeq lists it as uncharacterized. Lineage: Eukaryota; Metazoa; Arthropoda; Insecta; Lepidoptera; Tortricidae. The transcript has 2 exons. The record is from RefSeq and is a predicted model, not a curated record.